Molecule: ribosomal RNA, 258 nt
Filed under: uncultured bacterium
Lineage: Bacteria
Description: partial 16S ribosomal RNA
Rfam family: Bacterial small subunit ribosomal RNA
Source: RNAcentral
CGGACGGGUGAGUAACGCGUGAGUAACCUGCCUUUCAGAGGGGGAUAACGUUCUGAAAAGAACGCUAAUACCGCAUAACAUCAAUUUAUCGCAUGAUAGGUUGAUCAAAGGAGCAAUCCGCUGGAAGAUGGACUCGCGUCCGAUUAGCCAGUUGGCGGGGUAACGGCCCACCAAAGCGACGAUCGGUAGCCGGACUGAGAGGUUGACCGGCCACAUUGGGACUGAGACACGGCCCAGACUCCUACGGGAGGCAGCAUG